Molecule: long non-coding RNA, 5543 nt
Filed under: Daucus carota (carrot)
Lineage: Eukaryota; Viridiplantae; Streptophyta; Magnoliopsida; Apiales; Apiaceae
Description: long non-coding RNA (DCAR_LNC002957)
Source: RNAcentral
CUUACCAGAGAAACAUACCUAUGUUGAACACAUCACAACUACAUGUUUUAUUUAGCAAAAAAAAAAAAAAAACUACAUGUUUUCGGGUACUGCUCCAAAUCAUCUGCCCUCGGUAGCUUGGUGCCUAAGUAGUUAACUCAGCAUCACAAGAAGGUAACAGUUAAAAUCUUGCAACUCUUCCCAGAAAGUGUAAUGUUCAAGUAACGAGCACAACAGAACAUUAAUAUGCAUCCGCAUUUAAAAUCCCGAAUGAAGAAGACCAAAGUUAAAGCAUGAAUGAUAAGGCAUACCUAAGUAUAUAGUAUAUGUACCUUAACUCUAUCAUUUAUUUUGUAUAUGAAAAUCAAUAUUAAAACAUCUAAAUAUAUGUAAAGUGCCGCAAUGAGCAUUCAUCACAGUUUAUCUAAACUACAAGUGGCCCACGAGAGGGAGCAUCAUCAACUGUGUUCCAUGAUUCAUCAACCAAAAGAGACCCUAAACCAUAGCAAAAAAGAGAGAGAAGAAAUCAAUUACAACAAUGACACCAAAAGCUCUGAUCCGCAGGAAAUAAGUUCCUGAACCAGAUAUCUGUCUAAAGGCCUUAUAAAUCAUAAAACUAAACUCCCAAGCCAUUGCAUACUAAAAUCAGGUAUAGAAGUUAAUUCACUAUACAAGCUAAACAGAAUCAAGUGCAACAAUGAUACCAAAGGCUCAGGUUUGCAGGAAAUAGGUUCCCAACCCCAGAUCUCUAUAUAAAGGUCCUGCAAUAUCAUCAUAAAUCAUAAUACUAAAUUACCAAGGGCAUUUCAUACAAAAAUCAGGUAUAUAAGUCAAUUCAAAUAAUUAAAAAUGAACUCAUCAUGUAAGACAGUAAAACUAAAUGCCAACACCAAACCCAACGAAUUAACUUUAUGCCUGGAACAUUUUUGAAAAUUGUGCGCACUACAGAUGCACUCUGGCCACAAUACAAUCAAAAAUUCUUCCUCCUCCCACAGGUUGGAAAAAAUGUCAACAACCAGCAAGUUGCUCUGUUUGAGCUUUUUUCUCUCUCCCCUUUCACCACUACUUUUGAUCUGCCAUACAUAUUUUAAAUGUGGUCACUACCAAUGUGGCUGCUAUCUUCCAAUCAUUUUCACCAAGUCCUCAAAUUGGCACAUUCAGAAAAGCUAAAACAAUCCUAAUAGUUGUUGCAACUGUAAUAUAAGAAACGUAUGUAACAUAAUGAUGACACAACGUAUAAUACUCACUGUUACGACUUCUUAUUGUAUGAUACAGAGCAACUAACUUUUGAUUGAUGGGAAAGACACCCAUAUAAAAAUUGAUUAUUCGUCUAUGGAUCAAUCGCAUUCAAAUUUCAACAAAAAGAUGGGGACAACUAAUAUCUAGGAGAUCUCUUAUAAUGUUUAAGUAAACAAGUUUUAUAAACUUUUAGAAGGAUUACCUGAUCCGAUCAAAAAUGCCAAAAGAAGUGUCCUAAUAGACUGUAUAACUCUAGGUUAAUGUGCUCUGAAGGGCAAUUAGAAAAUAGCUUAAGAAGACAUCAAGCAAAAAAUUAUAACAAUUAGAUAGGUGCCUUGACUGAUGCAUGAACUGUUGCAUGAGGUGCUAUUUUUAUCUCAAACUAAGCAUAGUCUUGAUCAAAUAAUGGCAAAAGAAAUAUAUGGUUAUAACCCUAGUCUUGGUUUGCUGGUCCAGUAACUCUAAUACAUACUCCACAUUUAAAGAUCGGGACUCUCCUAGAUCACCUUUUCUAAUGUUCUUUUACAAGAAAGAAUUGAAGCACUAUUGUUAUGCUUAUAUGGAACUUUAGAUAUCUCUUAACUAAACCGUGAACAGUACUAUUUGGUUAUGGUAGACAAUCAAAUUGUUAAUCUCAUGCAUUUUUUUUGUUUUCAGUACAAAAUCAUGAUUUAUAAUAUGUUUCCAAAUCUUCUGUUAUUAUAUAAGUUUGCUUCUAAAAAUGGAUAUUUCUAGCGGAAGGAAAAAGAAAAGAGAGAGGCUGUUUUUGCUUGGCAAAAAUAUAAUAGCAUCAACUCAUUAGAAUAUAAAUUUCUCUUACAAACUACAUCUACAGGCAAUUAGGAUAAAUAACUUACCUAAUCGCAAGAUUCUUGUAUUAUCUUCUCACUUAGUACUCAUUCUCUCGUGUAACUUCCUAUUAUAUAAACAUCUACACCCAAACUCUACAAUUCUGAAAUGCACAAAUAUGUAACUUCCUAUCCAUAAGUAAACCUACACAUAUAGGCUCUCACAGUCGUCCCCAACUGAGUUCAUUUGCAGCAUCGGAACAACAUGUGACAAUAUUGGCUUUCCGCGUGUAUAUAUAUAAGGAGAAGACAAGAGGAUAAAAAGAUGUUAUGAGGGAUGUAUGAAUGCAAUGCACAGUCGCCAAUUUCAAAGUGAUGAAGUACCAAAUAUUUUCUUCUACUUGUAUUUUGUAACAGGCUAACUGUUUUCAUAUAAAGCUAUAUUAAAAACGUAAAUUUAUUAUAUUUAAGUAGGAUAGAAAUAAGUUAACCAGGGUAUAACAAACAAAAUGAUCAUGCGACAUGACCAAGACGUGAUGUCGACCAGCACCCUGCAUACCACAUACCAGGGUUUCACGCAAAUUUAAAGAUUAUAGGCAUAUAUAUAGUGCACACACCAAUAAAAUCUUACUCAUUUAUGAGAAGUGCACUGCAUGUUAUUCAAAUUUAGUAGAUUAACAUUACUGAGGGAAACUUGUCCCAGCACAACCUAAUAGAUUCACAUGGCUUAGAACUAUAUCAAUUCUAUGGUCAGACUGUAAAUGAAAAUAUCAAUUUAUGGCCCUAGGAUGCAGACACAACCUUCCUUUAAGUGACAUGAAACAACUUCUUUUAGAUGAAACUGUUUGAUCUCAUAUCUAAUCUUUGUACAUACACACUAAGUUUGUUCCAUCCCCUUACUAUACCUCAUGUUGCUCCACGAAGUUAAAAAGCAGUAUGUGAUCAGAAUUCUGAAACAAUAAUUAAAACAUAAUUAAAAUAGGCUACAAAAGAGUAGCAGUAGCUAUUCUUAUAUAUAUUAUGAAGCUUAUACAAGGUAUCAAACAAAUUGUUACAACUUAUCAACUCCAAAAUACUAACUGUAGGCUCUAUUCGAAUAAAGUUACAGAAGCCAACGCCUACUCGCCUAGGCCAAGACCAAAUAGGUGGACUAUCCGAGUAACCGACCACGAAGUGUAUACAGAUAGCUAUGUUGUGGCGGUUGUGGCCCACGUCAGCAGCCAUCAUUGUGGCUGAUCUUUGCUUAUUUAUAGCACCGGUACCAGUUAAUGCAAUUAAUGACAGGGGCAUCAAUUAAAGAUAAAACCUAAAGCUUCAGUAGGCACAGGUUUUAAACAGAAAGUAACAUGUGCUUCUAAUUUUACUACUGUAUAUGAACCAUCUGUAUUCUGUAAGGAACAUUAAAUUUCUUUGAGAAAGGACUACUCAAUAGGUUUGGUCAGAAUUCCUUCUUAUCCAUAUGAACAUCAAAAUGCAAAAGAUGACAUAUAUAGUGAUGUCAAGCACAUAAUAGAUUUUUUUGAUUUAAAUGAACAAUGGAAUCACAAUUCUGAAAAGGAAAGUCCAUGCCAAUAAUAAACUAAAAACAAUCAUAUAUUAAGCCAAAAGGAGUUAGCGAGAGAAAAAAUAAAUAUACUUCUAAGACCAACUGAUACCUGCACAAAAUCCCCAUCCUUUUAGCUAAAUGUACUGUCUUUUCCAGAGGCUGGCUUUGCUUUAGAUGACUUCUCAGGAACCGCCUUUUGGUCAGCCUCUUAGUUACUGAUUAUGCUCUUGCUGUUGUUGUCUUGUUGAUAAAACUGACGUAGGUAGCUUCAUGACAGAUGUAGUGGUGGCAACAUUUGCUGGCCAAGAAUACCCAUACAAUGAUGAUUUUACAUUAUACAAGAACUCGAAUCAGGGUACUUUGAAGUCAUGGCUGGUUUUGGAAAAGUCAAGCGAAAGGAAAUUAGUAAUCACAAUAUCAAACAUUUCAAAAAGAAGACCAACUACUGCAAUCAUUUUAUCAUGUCUAAUUUAUAUAGAAACUGUAUGGUGACAUCCUUCCCACCAACAUAAAGAAUUCAGGAGGCUAAAAUAGCUCCCAUCUUGCCUAUAGUACAUUCAUGCUUAUUUAAAAAUAAUUUUCUCUAGUCGCAUAAUCAACCGAAAUAAAGCACGAUAAGGUAUUAAGAAACACAAGCAGACACUGCUACACCAGAAUGUUCCAACAUGAGAAACCAAGCUUAACCAUUGCCAUAGUCAUUGCUCUACAAAGCAGUAAUUUCACAAAAUGCAUUUCAGGUUGCUAAUUUCAAAAGCAAGCAUCAAAUUAACUUUACACAAAAUAAGACUAGAGAGUGCAGACAGUAGAUGUUGGGGAUAAAAAUGCAACCAGAGGUUCAACUAAUUUGAUUCUGACUUGUGCAGUUGCACUCAACCAAAUAGUGACCAUAAAUGGUAAAAGGCGAGCCUGUGUAUAGAUAAUAUAGAUUGAUACACGAUGAGAGGGUUGCAAUUUGAAAAGCUUUAUGAAUGCAAUAGUCAAUCACAUCAAGAUACAAGGUGUAGUAAUGUUAAAUAAACCUAAAUUGAUCACAAGCAGUGACUACAAUAUUAUUGUCUUAACCAAAUUAAUUCAACCACCAGUACAGGAGACACCACUUAAUGGAAUAGAUAAUCUAAGGUGAAUGCACCCAGAACAUCAAUAUUAUGCUGACUUCUUAUCUGACUCAAAGAUCCGACGAGAUCGAAUGGCAAAGCGCCAGGUAUAGUAGAUUGAAUUUUAAUAUAGUUUCUGCAAUCCCAAAUUACAAGAUAAAAAGAAUUUGUUUGCAGGGACGUAGACAGCUAAGAGUAUAAUCUGGAGUUAUGAAUUAGGCUGAGCAUUCGGUCGGUUCGGUUUAAAACCGAACCGAACCGAAAAAACCGAAAACCGAAAACCGAAUUAGACUUUUUUCUGAAACCGAACCGAACCGAAUUAUUAUUUUGGACCGAACCGAACCGACCGAAUUAUUUCGGUUCGGUUUCGGUUUCGGUUUGAAAAAACCGAAAUUUUUAAAACAAAUAGGACAACUCAGUCUAGCAUCUACUGAUUUACAUUACAAAAGUACAGUGAAGUUCAAAAAGAAAUAAAAUGCUUCCCAUCUCAGAUUUUCAAGCUGCAUCUGCACGACAUAGAAGCUAGUCUUAGAUAGUUAGAUUAGAUUAGAGAUGAAGAAUACAAACUUGGAGUUUGAGUUACUGCCUCCAGGAGAUGAAGAUGAGAAGAUUCGUGUUACUAUGAUUCAGAUUUGUUUCAUGAUGGAGAGUUGGAGGCUAGAGUUUGGGUGGGUCGGAGAGCCCAGGAGAUGAGAGAACUGACCAGUGGGAUAUUAGAUUCUAAUUCCUGGGGUUAUCUUAUCUGUAUAUAUGUAAUAUAUUAUAUAUUUAUUUUUGAUUUAAUAAAAAUUUCGGUUAUUUCGGUUUAAACCGAAAUACUAUAUCAAAAACCGAACCGAACCGAACUUCUUUUCGGUUCAAACCGAAAAACCGAAAUAACCGAAAUUUUCAGAAAAA